UUGACUUGACAUUGUUAAUACUCUAUUUACACACAUUACCAUUGUUUUACUCACUGUUACUUGCAUUAAUGGCAGAUGUGUGUCUACCUUUGAGUGCAGCUCCAGCUGGAGGCCAUGGAGAAGAAGAUCCACGACUUGUUGGAGAAGUAGUCCCAGCUGAGAGAGCGGAGAGCUGCACUGGAAACAUCCCAGGCUGAUGCUCACAAGUCCAAAAUCUGCGAUCCUGAAGGGCGACGAGAGCCCAGGAACGGUCGUGCUUCACACCAGGGUUAACGACACCACGCUGCGGCAGACGGAGACACUGAAGAGGGACUUCAGGAGCCUGAUCGAGACGGUGUGCAGCACAUCGCCCGUGGUGACGAUCAUCGUAUCAGGACCGCUUCCAACGUAUUGACGAGGACAUGAAAAGGCAGUUCGUGAAGACAGAUAAUCAAGAGAUGUGACAAACUGUACAGAAGUCAGUUCCAGAUCCACCCUCCACUCUGGACUUCGCUCUCGUAUGGAUUGCUGUCUACUAGCAUAUUGUGUUCUCUUCAAACUUCGGUGGAUGCAGAUACUACUCAGGGACAUGAACACUUGAAUAUUGCAAGAAUAGAGAAAGUAAGAAUUACUUAAGAUUUAAGAAUUAAAUCAAAUGUUAAUUGUUUAACAAAAUUUAUUUAUUUAUCUAAAAGCCAAUUCACAAUAGUUUUGUGGCAGUGUGAACUGACCAUAAUGCUGUAUGUUAGGUAUGAGAUUCAUUAAACUUGGUUUGCUAUAAUACAUCUAUUCAUAAGUGCACCAGUGUGAAUCAUAAUUCCCUGCACAUUUGCUGUAUAGAUGGUUUCAUUGGCAACAACAUAAACAUUUCUGCACAGGUGCGCUUUUGUGGCCCUAACUUAACUUCCGGUAGACUUCCAAAUAGGAUCAAUAACAACACCUAAGUAGUCCCUCUAGAGUAGAUUAUUUCUGAUAACAAGCAAAGUAUGUUUGCUGGGUAAAUCAGACUUACUGAAAAUGCAAAUUCAUUCUUUGCCAGCAGGAGGUGCUUUAAAACUGGAGAAACAGAGGUUUCCCCAGUAACUGCUGUACACAGAGCAGCGCUCAGCUCACAAACGCUGCUUUA
Long non-coding RNA from Cyprinus carpio (common carp), 1105 nucleotides. RefSeq lists it as uncharacterized. NCBI's taxonomy places the organism in Eukaryota, Metazoa, Chordata, Actinopteri, Cypriniformes, Cyprinidae. The record is from RefSeq and is a predicted model, not a curated record.